UCAGUGUUAAUUUUAAUUUUGUUUUUAAAUUUUUUAGGUGGAAUUUUAAAUUUGUUUAAAGUUAUUUCUUUGUUCUGAGGUUGGGAAAUCUUUAUUAUAAACUAGGAUUAGAUACCCUAUUAUUUUAGAUGUUAUUAAUUUUCUAUAAUUAUUAUUAGUUAAGUUCUUUAAAAUUAAACAAUUUGGCGGUAUUUUAGUCUAUUCAGAGGAACCUGUUUUUUGAUUGAUGGUCCACGAUAAUUUUUACUUUGGCUUUAAAUUUAUAUAUCGUCGUUGUUAAAAAUUUUUGGAGGAUUAUAAUUUUUAAGAUUUUUUAUUUAGGAUAAAUUCAGAUCAAGGUGUAGUUUAUGCUUAAGUUAAAAUGGGUUACAUUUCAUUUAUGAUUGGUUCUUUUUUUUAAAUUUUUUGAUAAAUUGGAUUUGAGGGUAAAUUCUUUAUUUUUGGGAGUUGAUUUAGCUCUAAAAUAUGCACA
This 472-nucleotide ribosomal RNA is filed under the name Blaps jeannei. Its description in RNAcentral is "partial 12S ribosomal RNA". The record is from RNAcentral. Lineage: Eukaryota; Metazoa; Arthropoda; Insecta; Coleoptera; Tenebrionidae.